AUGUUUUGACUGCGAACAAACAGCUGAUAGCGGUGUGUCUACAUUUUUAAAAGAAGCAAGGCCUGCAAGACGUCGAUAGUGGAAAUUUCAGCUCAACUAACGUAUGACAGAUUAUAAAGCUUAAAGCAGACUCUUGUUACCACAUGGCUUUUACCUGUUGAUUCUUGUGGUGUCAGCUCUUGAGGUUAACCUGUCACCUCUACCCACAUGCAUAUUCCUUGUGUUCUACAGACUAUCUACCGGUAAUUCAAAUUAAAUCGGAUAAUGCAUGAACAAUAAUGGAACUUUAAGAAAGCAUCAUGUCCUAUUGUGGUUUGUUCAUGUUUGAAAAGAAAUUAUGAAAAACAAAAUUAAGGCUGUUUAAAGAAAUAUAAUUGUUGUGAAAAUUUGUUUUUCAAUAAAAGUAUGCAAUUAUG
This is a long non-coding RNA of Magallana angulata, 416 nucleotides long. RefSeq lists it as uncharacterized. The transcript has 2 exons. The record is from RefSeq and is a predicted model, not a curated record. NCBI's taxonomy places the organism in Eukaryota, Metazoa, Mollusca, Bivalvia, Ostreida, Ostreidae.